CAAAGAAAUCCCAGGGCUGAUCUCCUUCAGAAUGGACUGGUUGGAUCUCCUUGCAGUCCAAGUCACAGACAAAUAGUGUUUGAUUCUGCUUGCACAAGAUUCAGUCAUCACAAGUUAUACACAAGCUGCUGCUGCUGCUGCUAAGUUUCUUCAGUCGUCUCCGACUGUGCGACCCCAUAGACGACAGCCCACAAGAUCAGAUGGACUCACGGUCACAGCAGUUAAAAAGAUGGAGAUAUCUGAAUGAAAACAUCUCACUGGGCUUCUGUCCAUGUUCUGUCGCUGGGGGUUUGACUCCAUGUGUCAAAUGAGUCGAGUCUCUGGAUACUAAUAAUGCUGGUGUAGGCUUCUGAGAUUAUACUAUAAAAUUUUCAAUGGUUUCUGCCUCUCAGUGGAGGCAGAAAUUCUCUUGAUUCUCAGAAAAAGGUAAAGCCCUAGAAAUCUCAGCAACCCAAUGGUUAUCACAUGUUGAGAUGCUCUGUGUCAACUCAGAUCAUUGACACACACAUUUCAGACUUAUAAAGCACUGAUGUAUAAACCAGCCUGGCCAAUCAUAACAUAAAUUCAACAAAAAAGAGUCAGACUGCCAGGGUUCAGUUUGGCAGUCUGUUUCAUCCAGUUUCAGCUUGAUGACUUCCUAGCAAGUUACUUAAAGACUAUAUCAAUUUCUGAACUUGUGAACAAUGGAAAUAAUAGCAGCUACCUUAGGCACUGCUGUGUCAAUGAGCUAAUAUGUAUAAAAUACUAAUUAUAGUGUUUGACAUAUAUUAAACAUAAACUACACACACAGUAAUGAUUUAGGGUUUGAGAAAUGAGUGUAAAUUAUUAGUAGAAAUAAUAUGCUAAUACCUGGAAAAUUAGAAUUAAGUAGCUUGGUUCAUUCCACUCCAGUAUUCUUGCCUGGAGACUCCCAGAGACAGAGGAGCCUGUUGGGCUGCCGUCUAUGGGGUCGCACAGAGUCGGACACGACUGACACGACUUAGCAGCAGCUUGGUUCAUCCUUUUCCUGUACUCACUUUCCCUGGCCAAUUUUUGAAAACUAUGUUUUUGCUGAAUAAUGGCUUAUAAAAAUGUUACAUUUCAUAUCUUUCAGAUUUUUUAAAAAGAAAGUCAUGUAAACCAACUGAACUAACUUCCUAUGACAUAAAGAGUUUUUAUGUAAACUAGCAUUUUUGUUUGUUUCUAAUUAUAGGGAAAGAAGGAUGUCAGUAUUUCCAGAUAUUAUAGAAAAAAACAACUGAUACUAUUUUCUCCCAGUUUUUAAAAAUUUCUUAAGAAACCUUAUUCUUCUAUUUACAUAUAACUGUGUAUUUAAAACCUUUAAGCCUGGGAUUCCUAUAGACAGGCAGGCUUUAUGCUGUUGGGUUACAUCAUGGAAUAACUUCUGCAAAAAUGAGUUGGAAAAUAUUAUUACAUCUAUUCUCUGUGUUGCA
Bubalus bubalis (water buffalo) is the source of this 1433-nucleotide long non-coding RNA. RefSeq lists it as uncharacterized. The transcript has 3 exons. The record is from RefSeq and is a predicted model, not a curated record. Lineage: Eukaryota; Metazoa; Chordata; Mammalia; Artiodactyla; Bovidae.